RNAcentral lists this ribosomal RNA (413 nucleotides) under uncultured bacterium. RNAcentral describes it as "bacterial SSU rRNA". It matches the Rfam family "Bacterial small subunit ribosomal RNA", at positions 355 to 786 of the family's 1533-position model. The record is from RNAcentral.
UGGGGAAUAUUGGACAAUGGGCGCAAGCCUGAUCCAGCCAUGCCGCGUGGGUGAUGAAGGCCCUAGGGUUGUAAAGCCCUUUCGGCGGGGAAGAUAAUGACGGUACCCGCAGAAGAAGCCCCGGCUAACUUCGUGCCAGCAGCCGCGGUAAUACGAAGGGGGCUAGCGUUGCUCGGAAUCACUGGGCGUAAAGCGCACGUAGGCGGAUUGUUAAGUCAGGGUGAAAUCCUGGAGCUCAACUCCAGAACUGCCUUUGAUACUGGCGAUCUCGAGUCCGGGAGAGGUGAGUGGAACUGCGAGUGUAGAGGUGAAAUUCGUAGAUAUUCGCAAGAACACCAGUGGCGAAGGCGGCUCACUGGCCCGGUACUGACGCUGAGGUGCGAAAGCGUGGGGAGCAAACAGGAUUAGAUACC